AUUGAACGCUGGCGGCAUGCCUUACACAUGCAAGUCGAACGGUAACAGGUCUUCGGAUGCUGACGAUUGGCGAACGGGUGAGUAAUACAUCGGAACGUGCCCAGACGUGGGGGAUAACGAGGCGAAAGCUUUGCUAAUACCGCAUACGAUCUAAGGAUGAAAGCAGGGGACCGCAAGGCCUUGCGCGUUUGGAGCGGCCGAUGGCAGAUUAGGUAGUUGGUGGGAUAAAAGCUUACCAAGCCGACGAUCUGUAGCUGGUCUGAGAGGACGACCAGCCACACUGGGACUGAGACACGGCCCAGACUCCUACGGGAGGCAGCAGUGGGGAAUUUUGGACAAUGGGCGAAAGCCUGAUCCAGCAAUGCCGCGUGCAGGAUGAAGGCCUUCGGGUUGUAAACUGCUUUUGUACGGAACGAAAAGGCUCUGGCUAAUACCUGGGGCACAUGACGGUACCGUAAGAAUAAGCACCGGCUAACUACGUG
Molecule: ribosomal RNA, 482 nt
Filed under: uncultured bacterium
Lineage: Bacteria
Description: partial 16S ribosomal RNA
Rfam family: Bacterial small subunit ribosomal RNA
Source: RNAcentral